This 900-nucleotide ribosomal RNA is filed under the name uncultured bacterium. Its description in RNAcentral is "bacterial SSU rRNA". It matches the Rfam family "Bacterial small subunit ribosomal RNA", at positions 55 to 943 of the family's 1533-position model. The record is from RNAcentral.
GUGGUAAGCUCAACUGCAGUCGAACGCCCUUUUCGGUGGUGAGUGGCGAACGGGUGAGUAAAGAUAAGUAACCUGCCCUAGGCAGGGGGAUGACGACCGGAAACGGACGCUAAAACCGCAUAGGCUGGGAGAUCGCAUGAGAAUCCAGUUAAAUGUCCUGAAAGGGACAGGCAAAGGAGGGACUUAUCACGCGUUAGCUAGUUGGUGGGGUAACGGCCUACCAGGGCGACGAUGCGUAGCCGGCCUGAGAGGGCGGACGGCCACACUGGGACUGAGACACGGCCCAGACUCCUACGGGAGGCAGCAGUAGGGAAUUUUCGGCAAUGGGCGAAAGCCUGACCGAGCAACGCCGCGUGAACGAAGAAGGUCUUCGGAUUGUAAAGUUCUGUUAUAGAGGAAGAACGGUGUACGUAGGAAAUGACGUACAAGUGACGGUACUCUGUGAGGAAGCCACGGCUAACUACGUGCCAGCAGCCGCGGUAAUACGUAGGUGGCGAGCGUUAUCCGGAAUCAUUGGGCGUAAAGAGGGAGCAGGCGGCCUGGAGGGUCUAUUGUUAAAAGGCAGUGGCUUAACCAUUGCAAGGCGAAGAAACCGGCAGGCUAGAGUUCUAAAGAGGAUCGUGGAAUUCCAUGUGUAGCGGUGAAAUGCGUAGAUAUAUGGAGGAACACCAGUGGCGAAGGCGACGAUCUGGGAAGAAACAGACGCUGAGUCCCGAAAGCGUGGGGAGCAAAUAGGAUUAGAUACCCUAGUAGUCCACGCCGUANACGAUGAGUACUAAGUGUUGGGGGUCAAACCUCAGUGCUGUAGUUAACGCAAUAAGUACUCCGCCUGAGUAGUACGUUCGCAAGAAUGAAACUCAAAGGAAUUGACGGGGGCCCGCACAAGCGGUGGAGCAUGUG